GUGCCUUCGGGAACUCUGAGACAGGUGCUGCAUGGCUGUCGUCAGCUCGUGUUGUGAAAUGUUGGGUUAAGUCCCGCAACGAGCGCAACCCUUAUCCUUUGUUGCCAGCGAUUCGGUCGGGAACUCAAAGGAGACUGCCNGUGAUAAACNGGAGGAAGGUGGGGAUGACGUCAAGUCAUCAUGGCCCUUACGAGUAGGGCUACACACGUGCUACAAUGGCNUAUACAAAGAGAAGCGACCUCGCGAGAGCAAGCGGACCUCAUAAAGUAUGUCGUAGUCCGGAUUGGAGUCUGCAACUCGNCUCCA
Molecule: ribosomal RNA, 306 nt
Filed under: uncultured Citrobacter sp.
Lineage: Bacteria; Pseudomonadati; Pseudomonadota; Gammaproteobacteria; Enterobacterales; Enterobacteriaceae
Description: bacterial SSU rRNA
Rfam family: Bacterial small subunit ribosomal RNA
Source: RNAcentral